Molecule: transfer-messenger RNA, 432 nt
Filed under: Candidatus Levyibacteriota bacterium
Lineage: Bacteria; Candidatus Levyibacteriota
Rfam family: transfer-messenger RNA
About the family: Bacterial tmRNA, also known as 10Sa RNA or SsrA, is named for its dual tRNA and mRNA-like properties. Its role is to liberate the mRNA from a stalled ribosome.
Source: RNAcentral
GGGGAUGCAUUGCAUCGACGAGAAUGCACUUUUAAAAACAGCAAGCCGACAACGAUUGAAAGUCGUAAAAUUCGAUCAAAAUAUAAAUGCUGUUAAAACCAGCAGAGAGGCACUCUUAGCAGAAAAAGAAGCAAUUCUUUCAAUGCUUAAAAAUGCCUUUAGACAACCAGCUCUUGCUGGGGUAAGCAAUUACCUUAGUUAAGCUUUAGUCUUGUUUAUAAGGUCUUUUCUCAAUGGGACUUUAUGAGCACAAACACAGUUGAGAGAAUAGUAAGGGGAGUUGGUUUCUGUCCUUAUCGUAUUUAUCAACCUUGGCGCUAUUAAUUCUUGUUGAUUAGAAAAAAGUAGCGUAACCUAAAAUAAUCAACUAAGCUUGUAGGCGUUUUUUUAGUAAUUUCUUGCACUCGAGUUCAUGGCUCGACAUCUCCACCA